AUUGAACGCUGGCGGCAGGCUUAACACAUGCAAGUCGAGCGGGGUGAUGGUGCUUGCACUAUCACUUAGCGGCGAACGGGUGAGUAAUGCUUAGGAAUCUGCCUAUUAGUGGGGGACAACAUCUCGAAAGGGAUGCUAGUACCGCAUACGUCCUACGGGAGAAAGCAGGGGAUCACUUGUGACCUUGCGCUAAUAGAUGAGCAUAAGUCGGAUUAGCUAGUUGGUGGGGUAAAGGCCUACCAAGGCGACGAUCUGUAGCGGGUCUGAGAGGAUGAUCCGCCACACUGGGACUGAGACACGGCCCAGACUCCUACGGGAGGCAGCAGUGGGGAAUAUUGGACAAUGGGGGGAACCCUGAUCCAGCCAUGCCGCGUGUGUGAAGAAGGCCUUAUGGUUGUAAGGCACUUUAAGCGAGGAGGAGGCUCUUUUGGUUAAUACCCAAGAUGAGUGGACGUUACUCGCAGAAUAAGCACCGGCUAACUCUGUGCCAGCCGCCGCCGUAA
RNAcentral lists this ribosomal RNA (503 nucleotides) under uncultured bacterium. RNAcentral describes it as "partial 16S ribosomal RNA". It matches the Rfam family "Bacterial small subunit ribosomal RNA", at positions 30 to 523 of the family's 1533-position model. The record is from RNAcentral.